RNAcentral lists this ribosomal RNA (520 nucleotides) under Gymnocypris dobula. RNAcentral describes it as "partial 16S ribosomal RNA". It matches the Rfam family "Bacterial large subunit ribosomal RNA", at positions 1808 to 2530 of the family's 2925-position model. The record is from RNAcentral. Lineage: Eukaryota; Metazoa; Chordata; Actinopteri; Cypriniformes; Cyprinidae.
CAAAAACAUCGCCUCCUGCAACACAACCAAGUAUAGGAGGUCCAGCCUGCCCAGUGACUACAAGUUCAACGGCCGCGGUAUUUUGACCGUGCAAAGGUAGCGCAAUCACUUGUCUCUUAAAUGGAGACCUGUAUGAAUGGCUAAACGAGGGCUUAACUGUCUCCCCCUUUCAGUCAGUGAAAUUGAUCUAUCCGUGCAGAAGCGGGUAUAAUAAUACAAGACGAGAAGACCCUUUGGAGCUUAAGGUACAAGAAUCAGCCACGUCAAGCAACUUAAUAAAGAGCAAAAACUUUGUGGACAAUGAUUUUUUACCUUCGGUUGGGGCGACCACGGAGGAAAAAAGAGCCUCCAGGUGGACUGGGAAAACAUCCUAAAGCUAAGAGAGACAUCUCUAGGCCGCAGAACAUCUGACCAAUCAUGAUCCGGCUGACAAAGCCGAUCAACGAACCAAGUUACCCUAGGGAUAACAGCGCAAUCCUCUCCCAGAGUCCAUAUCGACGAGGGGGUUUACGACCUCGAU